ACUACGGGUGGCAGCAGUGGGGGAUAUUGCACAAUGGGGGGAACCCUGAUGCAGCGACGCCGCGUGGGUGAAGAAGCGCCUCGGCGCGUAAAGCCCUGUCAGCAGGGAAGAAAAUGACGGUACCUGAAGAAGAAGCCCCGGCUAACUACGUGCCAGCAGCCGCGGUAAUACGUAGGGGGCAAGCGUUAUCCGGAUUUACUGGGUGUAAAGGGGGCGCAGACGGCGAUGCAAGCCAGGAGUGAAAGCCCGGGGCCCAACCCCGGGACUGCUCUUGGAACUGCAUGGCUGGAGUGCAGGAGGGGCAGGCGGAAUUCCUGGUGUAGCGGUGAAAUGCGUAGAUAUCAGGAGGAACACCGGUGGCGAAGGCGGCCUGCUGGACUGCAACUGACGUUGAGGCCCGAAAGCGUGGGGAGCAAACAGGAUUAGAUACCCCAGUAGUC
Molecule: ribosomal RNA, 440 nt
Filed under: uncultured bacterium
Lineage: Bacteria
Description: partial 16S ribosomal RNA
Rfam family: Bacterial small subunit ribosomal RNA
Source: RNAcentral